UACGUAGGGUGCAAGCGUUGUCCGGAAUUAUUGGGCGUAAAGCGUGCGCAGGCGGUCUUUUAAGUCAGAUGUGAAAUCCCCCAGGCUUAACCUGGGAACUGCGUGUGAUACUGGAUGGCUUGAAUUCGGGGAGAGGGAUGCAGAAUUCCAGGUGUAGCGGUGAAAUGCGUAGAUAUCUGGAGGAAUACCGGUGGCGAAGGCGGCAUCCUGGACCGACAUUGACGCUGAACGGCGAAAGCUAGGGGAGCGAAACAGGG
RNAcentral lists this ribosomal RNA (257 nucleotides) under uncultured bacterium. RNAcentral describes it as "partial 16S ribosomal RNA". It matches the Rfam family "Bacterial small subunit ribosomal RNA", at positions 524 to 777 of the family's 1533-position model. The record is from RNAcentral.